GACGAACGCUGGCGGCGUGCCUAAUACAUGCAAGUAGAACGCUGAGGGAGGAGCUUGCUUCUCUGGACGAGUUGCGCACGGGUGAGUAACGCGUAGGUAACCUGCCCGUUAGCGGGGGAUAACUAUUGGAAACGAUAGCUAAUACCGCAUAAGAUUGACUAUUGCAUGAUAGUCAGUUAAAAGAUGCAAUUGUACCGCUACCAGUUGGACCUGCGUUGGAUUAGGUUGUUGGUGGGGUAACGGCUCACCAAGGCGACGAUACAUAGCCGACCUGAGAGGGUGGUCCGCCACCCUGGGACUGGGACACGGCCCAAGCCCCUUCGGGGAGCCGCAAUAGGGAAACUUCGGGAAUGGGGGGAAAUCUUGCCGAACAACGCCGCGGGAGUGAAUAAGGGUGUCGGGUCGUAAAGAUCUGUUGUAAGGGAAGAACGAGUGUGAGAGUGGAAAGUGCACGCUGUGACGGUAUCUAACCAGAAAGGGACGGCUAACUACGUG
RNAcentral lists this ribosomal RNA (495 nucleotides) under uncultured bacterium. Its description in RNAcentral is "partial 16S ribosomal RNA". It matches the Rfam family "Bacterial small subunit ribosomal RNA", at positions 28 to 507 of the family's 1533-position model. The record is from RNAcentral.